This 253-nucleotide ribosomal RNA is filed under the name uncultured bacterium. RNAcentral's name for it is "partial 16S ribosomal RNA". It matches the Rfam family "Bacterial small subunit ribosomal RNA", at positions 524 to 776 of the family's 1533-position model. The record is from RNAcentral.
UACGUAUGGUGCAAGCGUUAUCCGGAUUUACUGGGUGUAAAGGGGGCGUAGGCGGCGCGUUAAGUCUGAUGUGAAAACCCGAGGCUCAACCACGGGAGUGCAUUGGAAACUGGCGGGCUGGAGUGCCGGAGAGGUAAGCGGAAUUCCUAGUGUAGCGGUGGAAUGCGUAGAUAUUAGGAGGAACACCAGUGGCGAAGGCGGCUUACUGGACGGCAACUGACGCUGAGGCUCGAAAGCGUGGGGAGCAAACAGG